Pelobates cultripes (western spadefoot toad) is the source of this 266-nucleotide non-coding RNA. The record is from the annotation of a GenBank genome assembly. NCBI's taxonomy places the organism in Eukaryota, Metazoa, Chordata, Amphibia, Anura, Pelobatidae.
GACAAAUUGAAACGCACUACCUUAAAGGAUUUACUCAAAAGCCGAGGUGGGAACGCGAGUAACCGGCCGAGGAGGGAGCUGAUCGCAGAGCUGACUGAACUGGAUCAGAGUUUCACUAUGGCAGAAGCCCUAACAAUGACGGGUGACGAAAAGACCAGGAUUGUUCAGGAGAGGCUUAAUGGGCCGAAACCCUCUAAAGAACUAGUACAGCAGCUGAUGGCAGAGGCAGAUGAGGACAUACAGAAAGCUAGAGCCCACGAGCUCAG